This 21-nucleotide microRNA is filed under the name Rattus norvegicus (Norway rat). RNAcentral describes it as "rno-miR-466b-2-3p". Its record names the gene rno-miR-466b-2-3p. The record is from miRBase by way of RNAcentral. Lineage: Eukaryota; Metazoa; Chordata; Mammalia; Rodentia; Muridae.
AUAUACAUACACACAUACACA